UAGAGCUGCUGGAGUUCCCACACUUCUGCGUGCUCCUCCAGGUAUGAAUCAGGAACAAUGGGCAUUGUGAAAAGAUAGGAAGAUGGAAGAAAAGAAACAAAGAAUAGAAGAAACCAGGGAGAGGACAAGGGUAGCAGAG
Molecule: long non-coding RNA, 139 nt
Filed under: Fukomys damarensis (Damara mole-rat)
Lineage: Eukaryota; Metazoa; Chordata; Mammalia; Rodentia; Bathyergidae
Description: lncRNA (ENSFDAG00000029439.1)
Source: RNAcentral